This 321-nucleotide ribosomal RNA is filed under the name Triticum aestivum (bread wheat). Its description in RNAcentral is "partial small subunit ribosomal RNA". The record is from RNAcentral. Lineage: Eukaryota; Viridiplantae; Streptophyta; Magnoliopsida; Poales; Poaceae.
AUGGAUGCGGUCCCUCCUUGGAUAUUUCUCCCUUACAAUGAGACGAUCCUGGUCAGGGAUGAUGUGGUCGGUGGUCCCCGUGUCCGCGAACCAGGCGGGAUUGCCAAGGAUGGACGGGGGAGAAGCAGCAGCAAGUCCCGCCAUCUUGGAGUGUUGAGGCCGAAAGGCAUGGUUGUAACCGCACUCCCAGAUAAGAUGCCCAGGGCCGCAAUAGGGCUGGCAUUAGACACGGUUGUCACCGCCGCCAAAGUGAUCACCGUGGUCAUUGUCGGUGUCAAAACCGGCGGAUCUCGGGUAGAGGGUCUCGAACUAUGCGUCUAG